AGCAGCCGCGGUAAUUCCAGCUCCAAUAGCGUAUAUUAAAGUUGUUGCAGUUAAAAAGCUCGUAGUUGAAUUUCGGGAUCAAUAUUUCGGUCAUGCCGUUGGUAUGCACUGUUAUCAUUGAUUUCUCACCUUCUAAAGAACCGUAAUGCCAUUAAUUUGGUGUUACGGGGAAUUAGGACUGUUACCUUGAAAAAUUAGAGUGUUUAAAGCAGGCUCACGCUUGAAUACAUUAGCAUGGAAUAAUGAAAUAGGACAUCCGAUUCUAUUUUGUUGGUUUCUAGGAUCGAUGUAAUGAUUAAUAGGGAUAGUUGGGGGCAUUAGUAUUCAAUUGUCAGAGGUGAAAUUCUUGGAUUUAUUGAAGACUAACUACUGCGAAAGCAUUUGCCAAGGAUGUUUUCAUUAAUCAAGAACGAAAGUUAGGGGAUCGAAGACGAUCAGAUACCGUCGUAGUCUUAACCAUAAACUAUGCCGACUAGGGAUCGGAUGAUGUUAAUUUUUA
This 499-nucleotide ribosomal RNA is filed under the name uncultured Glomus. Its description in RNAcentral is "SSU rRNA". It matches the Rfam family "Eukaryotic small subunit ribosomal RNA", at positions 569 to 1072 of the family's 1831-position model. Lineage: Eukaryota; Fungi; Glomeromycota; Glomeromycetes; Glomerales; Glomeraceae. The record is from RNAcentral.